Molecule: ribosomal RNA, 250 nt
Filed under: uncultured bacterium
Lineage: Bacteria
Description: partial 16S ribosomal RNA
Rfam family: Bacterial small subunit ribosomal RNA
Source: RNAcentral
UACAGAGGGUGCGAGCGUUAAUCGGAAUUACUGGGCGUAAAGGGCGCGUAGGCGGUCAUAAGAGUGUGAUGUGAAAGCCCCGGGCUUAACCUGGGAAGCGCAUCGCAAACGCUAUGACUGGAGUAUAUGAGAGGGUGGCGGAAUUUCCGGUGUAGCGGUGAAAUGCGUAGAUAUCGGAAGGAACGUCGAUGGCGAAGGCAGCCACCUGGCAUAAUACUGACGCUGAAGCGCGAAAGCGUGGGGAGCGAAC